This 2447-nucleotide long non-coding RNA is filed under the name Mytilus galloprovincialis (Mediterranean mussel). Lineage: Eukaryota; Metazoa; Mollusca; Bivalvia; Mytilida; Mytilidae. The record is from RNAcentral.
GUAAGACAUCUACAAGUAUUUGACAUUGCUAAGAAAAUUUUUAUGUUCGUUUCUGUUAUUUUUUUUCAUGUUGAUAGUAUAUAAAAUUAUAGUUGUCUUAGUUUCUAUGUAUUGUUUAUUAUGUGUGAUAUUUUUUAUGUUAUAGUGUGAGGAAACAAAGAGGAAAACGUUUCUUCGUAACUGAUUAAAUGGCAUUGGGACCUUGAUUGUACUAUUUAAGUGAUUGUUGAUAAAAUAGUGACCAAAACAAUACAUUCCUUUUCAUUUGAUGAACUCCAAAAUAUAUACAAUACAUUAUGGUUAAGACAAAUUCUUAUAGGAGUUAUAGCCCAUGAAUGACAAACUUUACAAUUCUUUUUUUUCUUCAUGAAAACCAUGAUAUUUAGAGCGAAACAUUUUUUUUCUGUAAUGCCUGGCAUUAUGAUAGAUAAAUAAACACUCUAAGUCACAAAAGUUAUCAGCAAGGCAAGAUCUAUUAAUAAGUCAAAGAAACUAAACAGACUAAAAGAUCAGAAGUAGAAGAUGAACAAAAUGGAGAUUUUUGUCAUGGUCUAUUCUCGUCUAAAAUGUUGGAGAGCGUCCUUUGUUUGAUAUUCCUAUAGACCCAGUGACACAGGCUCUUGAGAGCCUCUAGUUAAGGUAGUCAGAAUUUUUCAGUUGCACCAGCUGCAAUAUGAGAUGUGAUUAUAAUGAGGGGGGAUAAGACCUUUAUCGGGACUCCGGGAUCGGGUGUUUUUAAGCUCGGGAUUUUGGGAUCCGGGAAUUCUUUUUUUCGAAUUUCGGGGUCCGGGAUUUUUAUUUAUUUAAAUUUGGGACCUCAGGAUUUCAUGUUUUUAAGUCCGGGAUUUCGGGAUCAUGACCUGUCCUAUCCCUCCUCUAUAAUCAUCAAGUGUAAAAGAUUUUUAUUGUUUUGGUCAAAUAUGCAAAUGAUCUCAGAUUUUAUGUGUUUACAUGUGUUGUAUUACUAUUAUUUAAAUAUUAUAAGUGAUUUUUACAUUUCCAUUAUCAUUUUUUAUGUUUCUUAAUUACUCAUACAAGUCUCUAUUAUUUUGAAAUCCAAAGUAGUGUUAAAUGCAGUUUUCUAAGAUUGCUUAAUGCUUUGGAAUUUGACCAACAUUGUAAAUUGACUUAAGUGCUAUUGUCAUGCCAUGCUUUACUACCCACUACCCUUUAUUGUCCCAUGAUUUGUGUGUCUCCAGGGACAUUCUAGUCUCAAAUAUAUAAGAAAGAAAACAGGGACUAUUUAUUUGAAAAUAUUAAAGACAUUUAUGUUGAUGAAAAAAGUCAUUACUAUAAAUUGUGGAAUGUCAUAAAAAUCAAGGGAGGCAAAAAGCAAGUUUCCCAUGAACCCAGUCUCAUCCUCAAUAAUAUAAAACUUUGCAUUACUCUGAAUUUAUUGUUUUAGGAGUAUCUUUUGAAAUCAUUUUUAUCCAAGUAGGUUUAUAUGCAAGGGACACGACUCCGUUAAAUAUAAAAUGUUUAAUUUAAGAUUUUUUUGUCUUAUCAGGAAAUAGAUUAAUCAUUGAAAACUUUUAACAAUACUUUGAUUUUCAAUAUUGAGUGAAUAAGAGCUCACCACACACUUCUUGCAUUUUAGUUUGCAGCAGUAAAGUCAGGAGUCUUCAAAAUACUCUAUACAAGUACAUAUAUUUUUAAAAGUUGAAAGAUAUUUUCGAACAGGAUGAUCUUCUAAAUUUUUCGACCUUUGUCUACAUUUAUAAUUAAAUUAUUUUCAUGUAUAUAUAAAUGGCCUACGCAACUGUGGUAUCUUGCCCAUUGAAUUCCUGUUUACUGGUUUUCAAAGCUGUGUAAUUGAACUUUCUUUGAGAGACAGUUCAUGCAUUCAUUUAGAAUCAUUUCUUCAUUUGGGAGAGUUACAAUAUCUUCAUGUAAUCUAAAACCAGUCUUCAUAUCGAUGAACAAGGAUGCUAAUUAUGUAUAUAUUUAUCCAUUAUUUUAUUGACACAGCUACAUGUAUAUGUAUGACUAUGUACCAUUUAAGUUUCAAACUUGAAUUUUAAUAUUUAGCAGAUGAGGGGGGAUGGGGGAUGAAAAAAAAUUGUGGGAGGACAAUUUUUUUCUCAUUUCAGAUUUCAAGGGUACUAAAUUGUAGAACAUCAGAAAAAAUGUGGGUCUCUAAAUAUCUUCACUUUAAAAUUAAAUGUUUAUUAUUGUACAGUAAACAUGGUAAAAGAGUAAUUUUAUUCAUUUUUACUGGAUAGGCCCAUACAUGUAUAAUUUCAAUUUUUAUUUUUAAAUAAUUGCGUCAUGUAACAAUUAAUAGUUUUCAAAUACCAUAGCUAAUGACAACUGUUAAAGUUUACAGCUAAUAUCAAGUGAGAGAUUUGAGUCUAAACAGUUCAGUUGUUUUAUUUGUUUGUAUUUUUACUGUGAUGGAAUCUCAUAGUUAUGAUAAAUAGAUAUAUUGUAGAAUUAAUUAAAUCGUU